UACGUAGGGUGCAAGCGUUGUCCGGAAUUAUUGGGCGUAAAGAGCUCGUAGGCGGUUUGUCGCGUCUGCUGUGAAAACUCAGGGCUUAACCCUGAGCCUGCAGUGGGUACGGGCAGACUAGAGUGUGGUAGGGGAGAUCGGAAUUCCUGGUGUAGCGGUGGAAUGCGCAGAUAUCAGGAGGAACACCGGUGGCGAAGGCGGAUCUCUGGGCCAUAACUGACGCUGAGGAGCGAAAGCGUGGGGAUCAAACAGG
RNAcentral lists this ribosomal RNA (253 nucleotides) under uncultured bacterium. RNAcentral describes it as "partial 16S ribosomal RNA". It matches the Rfam family "Bacterial small subunit ribosomal RNA", at positions 524 to 776 of the family's 1533-position model. The record is from RNAcentral.